RNAcentral lists this ribosomal RNA (440 nucleotides) under uncultured bacterium. Its description in RNAcentral is "partial 16S ribosomal RNA". It matches the Rfam family "Bacterial small subunit ribosomal RNA", at positions 338 to 795 of the family's 1533-position model. The record is from RNAcentral.
CCUACGGGAGGCAGCAGUGGGGGAUAUUGCACAAUGGGGGAAACCCUGAUGCAGCGACGCCGCGUGGGUGAAGAAGCGCCUCGGCGCGUAAAGCCCUGUCAGCAGGGAAGAAAAUGACGGUCCCUGAAGAAGAAGCCCCGGCUAACUACGUGCCAGCAGCCGCGGUAAUACGUAGGGGGCACGCGUUUUCCGGAUUUGCGUGGGGUAAAGGGGGCGCAGACGGCGAUGCAGGCCAGGAGUGAAAGCCCGGGGCCCAACCCCGGGCCUGCUCUUGGAACUGGGUGGCUAGAGUGCAGGAGGGGCAGGCGGAAUUCCUGGUGUAGCGGUGAAAUGCGUAGAUAUCAGGAGGAACACCGGUGGCGAAGGCGGCCUGCUGGACUGCAACUGACGUUGAGGCCCGAAAGCGUGGGGAGCAAACAGGAUUAGAUACCCGAGUAGUC